This is a long non-coding RNA of Danaus plexippus (monarch butterfly), 1879 nucleotides long. RefSeq lists it as uncharacterized. NCBI's taxonomy places the organism in Eukaryota, Metazoa, Arthropoda, Insecta, Lepidoptera, Nymphalidae. The record is from RefSeq and is a predicted model, not a curated record. The transcript has 4 exons.
ACUCCGCACGCUGGACUUCGGAAUAAGCCUCGGAGGGCAAUUUAUAAAGCGUGUUAAAAAAUUAGAUACGUGAUCAAAAGCAUUCCUUAUACAGACUAAGCGAGGUAGAGCGCUGUUGAAAUAUCAAAAUUAUUAUUACUCUAAGGUGGCUGGGGUCCAGAGGAAGUGGAGAUGCAUUUCUACAAACAUAUGUUUCGCGCAUAUCCACGUCGAUAGAGACUUGCACGUUUUGAACAUGAGAGGGGAUCAUUGUCACUUUCCAGCGAUCUAUACGAGGUGCAGGGACGGAAAAUAUGUUUUGGUCAGACGUCGCAAGACUCGAAAGUAAUUUUUUAAAGGAAGGAAUUUACUUCAUGUAAAUUCCAGCAAAUAUUUACAGAUGAUGGAAGAAUGUUUCUUAAGUACAGAGGUUUCUAUUACUCCAAACUAGCCAAGAGUAGGAGCAGGUGGCGCUGUGUGUGCACGAAGACUUGCUACGUGGGUCUGAAUGUAUACCCGGACUUUACUCCCAUGAGAGAACCUGGCGUACAUCAUCACAACCCAACCAUCCUUCGCAGGUUGAACAACGGCAGGCACAUGUUCGUAUCAGAUAUAAAAAGCUGAAAUAAAAGCCAUCACAAUGGUAAAUGGUAGAAGCUAUUACCUCUACAAAGGCUAUACUUAUUGUUCAGGAUUCAAGACGAAGACGGGAAAACGUUGGAGGUGUACGAAUACUUCUGACUGUAAGGCUUUCAUCGUGAUAUCAGAUGAAGGCCUUUUUGUUAAGGCUUGCGGAGAACAUGGUCACAAGCGGCAGAAGUUCCAUGUAUUACCUGACGGUCGAUACAUCAAGAUUUAAAUCAAAUAAGAUAUAAGUGGCUUAGAUUUUAUUAUAAAAGACUAUCAUAAUUUCCUAUUUUUAUUGAAAGACAAAUGCAACAAUUGUAAGGAAGGUUGUUACGUGUGUAUGUUAAAUUAAAACUGACAUAAAAUAAAAUUUUUAUUUACUGAUAAUAUCAAAUAAUUUUCAUGUACUAUUUGACUUCAUUUAAAGGACAUCAGUUGUAGGUGAUUGUGAGGUACAUCUCUUAUUGUAUUACAGUUUCCUUUGCGAAAUCUCAAAGGGGGGACCGGUUACUGGUUUGCAAAGGUUUUUGCUACAGCCUCCAAAAAUUACGAAAGCGAGACUUUCAAUGGCGCUGCACUAUGACCCAGCCGGGAUCUGGCAAACCACCACUAACUAUAAAGUUAUGGAAUUUAUCAAACAACACAUACACUCGCGGCCAAAGUUUGCCAAAAAACGAAACGCGGUAUUAAGGAUUUAUUAAAACGAAACUCUUACUAUAAUAUUCUUUAGAAUUCUGGAGUACAAAUCGGUCUAUCUAUUUAUGUCAUAUUGAUGCCAAAUAUUAAUCAUACAUAGUUUUUAUUAUAUUCCUUAUAAUUAAUUCGUUAAAGUUAUUUAUAUUUAUUGUCACUCCUUAUUUUAUAACAAUUUUUGUAUAUGGUUGGACUAAUGGGUAGUUUUUGCAGGCACUUUUUUAUGGACGAACAGAGGAGGUAAACAUCCUCUACUUCUGCUCUGUGGGUUUACGUACAGCUUUCAAAAACGUAACGCCGAUGGUAGGGUGUCGUGGUACUGUUCCAGGAGGUUGAAGGGUUGUAAGGCCGCGGCCAUCAGUGUCGGCAGUCAAGCCUACUCAUACAAACACCACAACCACCCACCUCCCAGGAUACCGAAAUAUUUAAGCUGUCCAACGUGAACGAAUACAAUUUUUUUAAUUCAUAUAAGUUAAACGACGCUACGGUUGUGUCGUAAGUGGAAUUUCGUUUAGUAUAAACUAUGUACAUAUAUUGUAAUGUUUAAGUAGAUAAUAUCAAAUAUAUGAUUAUCGUUCUA